AACGUAGGACACGAGCGUUAUCCGGAGUUACUGGGCGUAAAGGGCGUGCAGGCGGCAUGGUAAGUCUGAUGUGAAAGCUCCCGGCUCAACCGGGAGAGGACAUUGGAGACUGCCAAGCUCGAGGCAGAUAGAGGGAUGUAGAAUUCCGGGUGUAGUGGUGAAAUGCGUAGAGAUCCGGAGGAAUACCAGAGGCGAAGGCGGCAUCCUGGGUCUGGCCUGACGCUGAGACGCGACAGCAUGGGGAGCGAACGGG
Molecule: ribosomal RNA, 253 nt
Filed under: uncultured bacterium
Lineage: Bacteria
Description: partial 16S ribosomal RNA
Rfam family: Bacterial small subunit ribosomal RNA
Source: RNAcentral